CCUACGGGAGGCAGCAGUGGGGAAUAUUGCGCAAUGGGCGAAAGCCUGACGCAGCGACGCCGCGUGAGGGAUGAAGGUCUUCGGAUCGUAAACCUCUGUCAGCAGGGAAGAACGGUCACUGUGCUAAUCAGCAGUGAAUUGACGGUACCUGCAAAGGAAGCACCGGCUAACUCCGUGCCAGCAGCCGCGGUAAUACGGAGGUUGCGAGCGUUAAUCGGAAUUACGUGGCGUAGAGCGCUCGUAGGCGGUAUGUCAAGUCAAGGGUGAAAUCCCCUCGCUCAACGUGGGAACUGCCGGUGAAACUAGCAAACUGGAGUGUGUGAGAGGAUAGUAGAAUUCCGGGUGAAGGAGUGAAAUCCGUAGAUAUCUGGGGGAACAUCAGUGGCGAAGGCGACUAUCUGGCACAUAACUGACGCUGAGGAGCGAAAGCGUGAGUAGCAAACAGGAUUAGAUACCCUAGUAGUC
Molecule: ribosomal RNA, 465 nt
Filed under: uncultured bacterium
Lineage: Bacteria
Description: partial 16S ribosomal RNA
Rfam family: Bacterial small subunit ribosomal RNA
Source: RNAcentral